ACUUUUGUUGAUCUCUCACUGUAGAGACAUGUUUAAUGAUUUCGAUUUGAACUCCAACGGUUGCAAAACAUAAAUACAGUAUAUGGACAUAGACAAUAAAAUCACGUAUUAUAUAGAACCUUCGACGUGAGCGUCCUCUUCCAAGAGUGGGCGUAUCCCGUAUUCACCUAUCUCCCAGUCGUCAUUUAAGUUGAAUUCGAACUCAAACAAAAGCUCUAUGGAUUCCACACCUCUUGCUUCA
Long non-coding RNA from Arabidopsis thaliana (thale cress), 241 nucleotides. RefSeq annotates it as other RNA. NCBI's taxonomy places the organism in Eukaryota, Viridiplantae, Streptophyta, Magnoliopsida, Brassicales, Brassicaceae. The transcript has a single exon. The record is from RefSeq.